Molecule: unclassified non-coding RNA, 369 nt
Filed under: uncultured Cenococcum
Lineage: Eukaryota; Fungi; Ascomycota; Dothideomycetes; Gloniales; Gloniaceae
Description: sequence contains ITS2
Rfam family: 5.8S ribosomal RNA (bases 1-154)
Source: RNAcentral
AACUUUCGGCAAUGGAUCUCUUGGUUCUGGCAUCGAUGAAGAACGCAGCGAAAUGCGAUAAGUAGUGUGUAUUGCAGAAUUCAGUGAAUCAUCGAAUCUUUGAACGCACAUUGCGCCCCUUGGUAUCCCGAGGGGCAUGCCUGUUCGAGCGUCAUUUCACCCCUCAAGCCUGGCUUGGUGUUGGGCGACGUCCUCUUUGGGGAUGCGCCUCAAAACGUUCGGCGGCGUGGCACCGACUUUAAGCGUAGCAGAAUCUUAUCUUUCGCUUUGAAAAUCGGGGCCACGUUUGCCGGAAAACCUACUCGCAAAGUUGACCUCGGAUCAGGCAGGGAUACCCGCUGAACUUAAGCAUAUCAAUAAGCGGAGGCU